Molecule: long non-coding RNA, 277 nt
Organism: Sebastes umbrosus (honeycomb rockfish)
Lineage: Eukaryota; Metazoa; Chordata; Actinopteri; Perciformes; Sebastidae
Exons: 3
Source: RefSeq, a predicted model, not a curated record
UCAUUGUCCUAUGGUGUGAUGUCAUCAUCCUUUGAUGUGAUGUCAUCGUCCUUUGAUGUGAUGUCAUCGUCCUUUGAUGUUUUCACACAUUCUGGAACAUUAGGCUAGUAUGGAUAGACACAUUGAAGCGUGCUGCUACAAUACAAUCACAGUUGACAUCUCUAAUCAGUUGGAUAUUUGUAACAUACAUAUUUUUUUCUUCAAAAUAAUGCUUCUUUUCAAGAAUAUGGCUGGUAUUAAUCUGUAUUUGUUUUUAACUUUAAAAAUAAAUUAUUGU